UACGUAGGGGGCAAGCGUUGUCCGGAUUUAUUGGGCGUAAAGAGCGUGUAGGCGGCUGGGUAGGUCCGUUGUGAAAACUCGAGGCUCAACCUCGAGCUGUCGGUGGAACCGUAAGGCUAGAGUCCGGAAGAGGAGAGUGGAAUUCCUGGUGUAGCGGUGAAAUGCGCAGAUAUCAGGAAGAACACCCGUGGCGAAGGCGGCUCUCGUGGGCGGUAACUGCGCUGAGGAGC
Molecule: ribosomal RNA, 230 nt
Filed under: uncultured bacterium
Lineage: Bacteria
Description: partial 16S ribosomal RNA
Rfam family: Bacterial small subunit ribosomal RNA
Source: RNAcentral